RNAcentral lists this transfer RNA (72 nucleotides) under Marmota monax (woodchuck). RNAcentral describes it as "tRNA.Ala". It matches the Rfam family "tRNA". From Rfam's summary of the family: Transfer RNA (tRNA) molecules are approximately 80 nucleotides in length. The record is from RNAcentral. Lineage: Eukaryota; Metazoa; Chordata; Mammalia; Rodentia; Sciuridae.
UGGAGAUGUAGCUCAGUGGUAGAGCACUUGCCUAGCAGGCAUGAGGCUGGGAUUCCAUCCCAGACACUACAA